This 312-nucleotide ribosomal RNA is filed under the name uncultured soil bacterium. Its description in RNAcentral is "bacterial SSU rRNA". It matches the Rfam family "Bacterial small subunit ribosomal RNA", at positions 26 to 341 of the family's 1533-position model. The record is from RNAcentral.
AGAUUGAACGCUGGCGGCAUGCCUUACACAUGCAAGUCGAACGGCAGCACGGGAGCAAUCCUGGUGGCGAGCGGCGAACGGGUGAGUAAUACAUCGGAACGUGCCCAAUCGUGGGGGAUAACGCAGCGAAAGCCGUGCUAAUACCGCAUAAGAUCUACGGAUGAAAGCAGGGGAUCGCAAGACCUUGCGCGAAUGGAGCGGCCGACGGCAGAUUAGGUAGUUGGUGAGGUAAGGCUCACCAAGCCUUCGAUCUGUAGCUGGUCUGAGAGGACGACCAGCCACACUGGGACUGAGACACGGCCCAGACUCCGU